Molecule: ribosomal RNA, 330 nt
Filed under: uncultured eukaryote
Lineage: Eukaryota
Description: partial 18S ribosomal RNA
Rfam family: Eukaryotic small subunit ribosomal RNA
Source: RNAcentral
CCCUUAGAUGUUCUGGGCCGCACGCGCGCUACACUGAUGCAUUCAACGAGUCUAAAACCUGGUCUGAUAGGGCUGGGUAAUCUUUUGAAAGUGCAUCGUGAUUGGGAUAGAUGAUUGCAAUUCUUCAUCUUCAACGAGGAAUGCCUAGUAAACGCAAGUCAUCAGCUUGCAUUGAUUACGUCCCUGCCCUUUGUACACACCACCCGUCGCUCCUACCGAUUGAAUGAUCCGAUGAAUACCAUGGAUUGAGAGUACGAAUGGGUUCGCUCAUUUCUGCUGCUCGAGAAGUGGAGUAAAUCUUAUCAUUUAGAGGAAGGAGAAGUCGUAACA